Molecule: transfer RNA, 73 nt
Rfam family: tRNA
About the family: Transfer RNA (tRNA) molecules are approximately 80 nucleotides in length. Their secondary structure includes four short double-helical elements and three loops (D, anti-codon, and T loops).
Source: Rfam
GCCGGCUUAGCUCAACUGGUAGAGCAACUGACUUGUAAUCAGUAGGUUGAGGGUUCAAGUCCUUUAGCCGGCA